UAGGGAAUCUUCGGCAAUGGGGGCAACCCUGACCGAGCAACGCCGCGUGAGUGAAGAAGGUUUUCGGAUCGUAAAGCUCUGUUGUAAGUCAAGAACGGGUGUGAGAGUGGAAAGUUCACACUGUGACGGUAGCUUACCAGAAAGGGACGGCUAACUACGUGCCAGCAGCCGCGGUAAUACGUAGGUCCCGAGCGUUGUCCGGAUUUAUUGGGCGUAAAGCGAGCGCAGGCGGUUUGAUAAGUCUGAAGUUAAAGGCUGUGGCUCAACCAUAGUUCGCUUUGGAAACUGUCAAACUUGAGUGCAGAAGGGGAGAGUGGAAUUCCAUGUGUAGCGGUGAAAUGCGUAGAUAUAUGGAGGAACACCGGUGGCGAAAGCGGCUCUCUGGUCUGUAACUGACGCUGAGGCUCGAAAGCGUGGGGAGCGAACAGGAUUAGAUACCCUGGUAGUCCACGCCGUAAACGAUGAGUGCUAGGUGUUGGAUCCUUUCCGGGAUUCAGUGCCGAAGCUAACGCAUUAAGCA
RNAcentral lists this ribosomal RNA (520 nucleotides) under uncultured bacterium. Its description in RNAcentral is "partial 16S ribosomal RNA". It matches the Rfam family "Bacterial small subunit ribosomal RNA", at positions 355 to 866 of the family's 1533-position model. The record is from RNAcentral.